GAUGAAGAACGUAGCGAAAUGCGAUAAGUAAUGUGAAUUGCAGAAUUCAGUGAAUCAUCGAAUCUUUGAACGCACAUUGCGCCCGCCAGUAUUCUGGCGGGCAUGCCUGUUCGAGCGUCAUUACAACCCUCAGGCCCCCGGGCCUGGCGUUGGGGAUCGGCGGAAGCCCCCUGCGGGCACAACGCCGUCCCCCAAAUACAGUGGCGGUCCCGCCGCAGCUUUCAUUGCGUAGUAGCUAACACCUCGCAACUGGAGAGCGGCGCGGCCACGCCGUAAAACACCCAACUUCUGAAUGUUGACCUCGAAUCAGGUAGGAAUACCCGCUGAACUUAAGCAUAUCAAUAAGCGGAGGA
Molecule: unclassified non-coding RNA, 353 nt
Filed under: soil metagenome
Description: partial contains 5.8S ribosomal RNA, internal transcribed spacer 2, and large subunit ribosomal RNA
Rfam family: 5.8S ribosomal RNA (bases 1-120)
Source: RNAcentral